Molecule: long non-coding RNA, 8738 nt
Organism: Gallus gallus (chicken)
Lineage: Eukaryota; Metazoa; Chordata; Aves; Galliformes; Phasianidae
Source: Ensembl
CUGAUUUUCCCAGCCACUGAAAGGUGUUUACCUUCUCCCUUGGUUUUGGCACAGGAACCUGUAAAACGCAACCCCAAAUUCAGUAAGCUGCUAGAGCAAAACCAAAGAUUAAAGAGUGUCAGCAGGUGUGCUUUAGGGCUUAUAAGGAGGCACAUUUCAUCAGUUCAGUGUUAUACGGCCCGGUAGUGGUGAGACUACUUCUGUAUACAGCUGUGUACAGCUCUGGAGAUGCAGUUCGUUUGAAGAACAGAAGGAAACUUUAGAUGCCAGAUCUUCUCAGCUUAGUAGAAUGGUAAACAAGAGGGAACUUGUUAUAAAUAUGUGGAUUAUAUAUAUACUAGGGUAGGUUGAGGAAGAGCAUUUUUAGUGAAGAACAGAACCCGUGGUGGGAAGAAUUAAUUACAAGCUCUUUGUAGACACCUUUUUCUUACUGGAAAUUAGGUGAAGAUUCUUAACCACUAGAAGAAGAAAGUUCUGAAUCAGCCUCCCAGGAGGGAGAAGUGUGCAGGGAAAUGCUCAGAUAGAAUUCUGUCUGUUUGCAAGAAGUAUUAUAUGAUAUGAUGCAAUCAUAUCAUCACUCACAAGGGCUCUAGGUAUGUCCCUUUGGGGAUGCUGUCUGGCUUAGUUGCUCAUCCAGAGAAUUGAGAUUUUUGUCUGGACUUGAGAAGUGGACGGAAGCAAUGUGAAUCACAAUGCAUGGGGUAAUUGCAGACUGACCACGGAGUAGAAACAGUAGCUGACCUACAGUAAAUAUCAGCUGAGGAAAUGGGUUGAUGGGAACCCCAUGAAGUUCAGCAAAGGCAAAUACCACACUCUCUGUCAGAGGUCCCUCGUGAGGAAUACUAGUGUAGAAAGAAACAGAGGGGAAAACGUGAACAAUGGACCUCUCCUACCCUAAUUGCAAGUACAGCAAGUAUGUCAAGUGUGCAUUUGAGAGACAGAAGACUGCUUUGUAAACAUGAGCAGUGCUCAUGAAACAGACAGAUGAUAGCUGAGAGUCAAUCUGUAGCUAUAUCCAUCUUGAAGAAACCUUAUCUGAUGAAGCGAACCAGCAUAGCCUGUAUCUGUAAUUCUUGAUCAAUAUAUUUUUGUUUUAUCUUCUGCUGAAUGGCCUUGCUGCAUUUUAUAUGAAAUUUGAUUGUAUAAACGGCUUCCACAUUUUGGAAACGCUUCCAGUUUGGGAAUAUAAGUGGAGAAAUGGUUGAUGUCUGGAUUUCUCUCAGAUUAAGUGAAAAGCACCUUCUGAAGUACUGAACUGCUGCAAUCACACCUGGUUUGGCCCUGCCCUAAAACAAGCUUUGGGGUAUGAGAGAGUGCUGAAGUCUACCUGGAGUUCUUAUAGGUUGGUCUCUAGAGGCAGAAUAUCAGACACUUUCUGAAAUUUCAUAGUUUAGGAUUUAGGUGUGUUUUUCCUUCUGAGCAUAAGCAAUUUACUGAAUAUGGUCAGCGUUUUCUUUAUUGGCGUUGUAGAGUGAAGGAUAACUGCUUUGCAAAUCAACUAAAUUAAAACUACUGUAUUAGGAAUACUGCCUUUAAGCAUAAUAACUGUGUAACACAAACUUGGCAGAAAGAUGUUUAAUUUACAGGAAAAAAAGUGAACAGGUUAAAGAAUAUUCAGAUAAGUUAGGUAGAUUCAAGUCAGCAGGGCCUGAUGAAAUUCACCCCAGAGUACUUCAGGAACUAUCUGAAGUGAUCUCUGAACUAUUAGCAGUUAUCUCUGAGAGCUCAUGGAGGAUGGGUGAGGUCCUGGAGGACAGGAGAAAAGCAAACACUGUACCUAUCUUUAAAAAGGGGAAACAGGAAGACCUAGGGAAUUUCAGGCCAGUCAGGUUGACUUUGAUACUGAGAAAAAUGCAAGAGCAAAUUAUUGAACAAUCAAUUUGUAAACACCUAGAGGAAAAUAAGGUGAUAAGAGCCAGCAUGGGUUUGUCAAGAACAAAUCACAUCAAAGCAAUCUAAUUUCCUUCUUUGACAGUGUAACUGGCCCAGUGGAUAAGAGGGAAGCAGCAGAUGUGAUAGAUCUUGACUUCAGUGAGGGCUUUGACACACAUCCACCUGACAUUUUCAUAAGUAAGUCAGAGAAAUAUGCUUUAGAUGAAGUUAUUAUGUGAUGAGUGCAAAACUGUUUGAAAAAUUGGACUUAUUGGUAAAGCAAUUAUCAAUGUUUUGUUGGCAAACUGGGAAAACUGUGGUAUCUCAUCAAAUAAGAUAUCACAGAGGUCUGCCUUAGGUCCAGUAUUAUUCAAUGUUUACAUCUUCGAUGAUGGAAGAUAUAGAAAACUUUUAAAAAUUGCAGGUGAUACUGAACUAGAAGGGCUGCAAACAUUUUAGAGAACAGGAUUUGAAUACAAAAUAAUCUUGAUAAAUUGAAGAAAGAGUCUGAAGCCAAUAAGAUGAAAUUCAAUAUGAACAAGUGUAAGGUAUCACUUCUGAGGAAGGAAACAUCAAAUACACAAAUAUGAAAUGGAAAACAAGAAGUUUGGAAGCAGUUCACAUAAAAGAAGUUUAGCACAUUGCACACAAAAAAAAUAUGUAAUUCAGAAAUACAAAGUUGUGUGAUGGGAUGAAUUAAUGGUUAUGUUGUGAGUAACUGGGAAGCAUCUAUUUCAUUCUGCUCUGGAUAACGAGGCCCAACCUGGGAAUAUUAUGUCUGUGUCCAGUGGUGACAUCACAUUAUGGUAGAUAAUUUUGAAAUCUUUUUCAUUUUGAAAGGAGAAAGAGCAGUGCUUAGAAAGCAGGAAAAGCUGAAAUAAAUGACUCCUUUUGUUUUGGAAAAAAAAAAAAAAUAGGCAUAAUGUAGAUCAGCGAUACAAAAAAAUGUUACUAAAAAUGUGAGAGAGAAAAGGGCACUUACCUGUUCUCCCUCAGUAAAAACGUUGUGAAAAGAAACGGAUAGGCAAAGCUGAAGCCUGAGAUACUCAGAUUAGGUACAAUUCAGAUAGAUUUCUCUGGUUAUGAGAAUGGCACAGCACUGGAACAAGGUUUCUAAAAUACUCCAGAAUCCUUGCUUCAAAUCCUUAAAAUGGGUCAGACAGACAUCUGUCAGUGAUGUGGAACAGAUGUCCUCUUGAGAUCGCUUCUACUUUCACAUUUCUACAAUAAUUCGUACACCUCAGUCAAGAGGAAAACCCACGUGAACCAAAUAAGCAAGAAUUGCUCGCAUGCACAUACAAACAUACAUUUCCUACCAAACCCCCAACCUUUCCCUGAAAAUCUCUUUUCCUAUCAAACAUUUCUGUGCACUUAUCAAACUGAUGUUGUUUCUUCUAGUCCUUUUCACCUGCACGUCCCCCAAAACAGAGAAAAGAGUCACUCAUCACUUCAUUUCUGUAUUAAAGAUUAUGGAGAAAGGCAGAUCUGACGUCUAUCCAAACAACUAAUCCAGUAUGUUGCUUUCUGUGGGCUGACCCUACUAAUGUAUAGAAGCAAGCCUCCGAAGCCAUAAAAGCCUUUUUUGAAACUAUCUGUUGCAAGCUGCCAUAAGAAGUGCUUUGUUCUUUUUCUCUCUGUAUUUUUGAUGAAGCUACAGUUUGAAAAUGACACUUUAUAAAUAUGCCUGCUCCCCUUUAAUGAUAAACUUGGGACAAACUGGAUGAUAUUUUCAUGAGGUUUUAUUGGCAUGAUUUUGAACUGUUUUGUUAUUUAUGGGAGCAUCCUAGACAGACUGCAGCAAACACUCAGCAUCUUCUUGUUAUGUUUACUGUGUGAGCCACAUGCAUCUCAAAAUGUAGUCUUGAAAUAUAUAGUGAGAAAAGGGAGCUUCUUUUAGGGCUGCAGGGCCAGAAAUCUUAGUCAUCAAGUGCUGAUUUGUGUGAAGAUUACAACAGGAAAAAACAGUGUUUUAAAUGACUGAUCUAAACAAGGUACCUGAAAUUUAACUGCAGGGUUUGCACACUGCACUGCAGUGCAUGCGUGCUACCUCAAAAUGACACUCAGAGCAGAAUGUCUUCUCCUGCAUGUGCUUGCCUUUGUGAUCAUACCUGCACGAUAACAAAUUCAGGAAACCUUUUCUUAAAGGUUAUGAGGCUGCGGCUGCAAGUAAAGAAUUGUUUGUCUUGCUUUGUAUCUGGGAUUAUGCCUGUUCCAUCUCCAUGAAACCAAGGAUGUUUAAUUUUGCAUGAAUGGUGGUGGGGCGAGUGUUAUUUGGUUCCUUGGCUUAGAUUUCCUACUAGGUCCGGAGGCUUAGAAAAAGGAAUAUCCUUACUUGGAGAACAGCCAUCUCCCUUUCCAGGCAAACUGACUGGUAGGUGACAGUCUUUGACAAGGGUCCAGUCUCAGUUCCCUGGAAGUAGGUUAGUCAUGUGAGAAGCUUUUCUGUGCAUUCGAAGACACACAAGAUAGUUCUGCUUGAGCCAGGUUCAUGCACAGUGCUAAGGCUAUAUUCAUGUGGUGCAAUGCUUCUUGGAUACCUAUAUGCCAAGGUUAAUAGUGUAACUGACCUUCCUCUUCUCUAUUUUGCUCUGGCCCUGUUCUUAUUCACGUAUGUCUUUAGCACAUAUGCUUUAGCUUUACCUGAGUAUAACAGUCUCCUAUUACCUCCUGCAACUGAGAACUGGUCAAAACUGAGCAUCCCAGGCUCUAUUAAAAUGUCAGCAAGAUUUUACGCACGAGUUAAGUCCCACUUAAGGAGUAUUUUGAGAUUUCACUGUGCAAUGUAAAAAAAUAAAUUUGCAGUUACUGACCCCUCCAUGCAGUCCACAUAGUAUACUUGAUACUUGGGGUGGUAGGAAGAUACACCAUCACUCACACUCAUUAGGAGGUCCACAGCACAUAACUUUUAAGAGGGAAUUUUGGGGUAGAAGGUUUUGGGAGGUCAUUGGUAAUACUGCCAUUAACUUGCCAAUGAGGAGGUAGGACCAUAUUUAGAGCCACUUUUAGUCCUGCUUUCUGUAAUCUAAUAGGUUUUACAUUUUCAUUAGCUAUCACAAAUGAAAGAUUUGUGGUAGUAUGGAACCAAAAUUUUUUUCCUUAUCACUUGCAAAAGAUGCUAUUAAAGAUAAAGUAAAAUAAAACUUCCUGGAUCUAAAUAUAGGCUGGACUAAAUUGGCAGAUUUCAGUAAGCAUGUCUGCUUAGUACUGGACACGGUGCUGAGUGAAUUUUACAUAAGAGGAAAAAAAGCUAAGUAAAAUGAUAGAAAGCCUUGUCUGAACUGCAGCCGAAAACGGAAUAGUUUUCCCUUCUAUGAUACAGGGUUGUAUCUUUCUAUCUCAGCCAACCAGAGAGAUCUUUUUGGAAUACAUAUACCCCUGUCUGAAACACAUCUCCAGCCUGUUCUGUGCUAAAAAAUUUCAAUCACAGAAAGGAAAAGAAAAAAACAAAAAACAAAAAACAAAACCCAAUAACACUCCCAAACUAGCUCAGUUCCUGAGGUUUCUGCAAAGGAUGUAACCUAGAUUCACAGAAUAAUUCUGGUAGGAAGGUGUAACCUCUAGGAAAUCAUCUGCUCAGGUGUUCCUCACACAACAGAUCUAGCACACCCAUCUCCCAUUAUAGAUACCACAUUGCAGAUAUCCUAAUUUGUAAGGGUGAUGUCAGCUAAGAUCAAAGAUCUAUUCUCAUUUCCAGCAUAGGCCAGAAGAGGUUAAGUCAAUUUAUGAAGUCUCUUAAAUGAUCUCACUGAGGCAGAGUUUCUCAUCUAGUGCCCCUCAUCCUAAACCCUCAGUACUAAUUCUGUGUUAUGCCAAAGAGGAGCACACAGGAGUCUGGAUCUGCGCUGCAGCUGGGACAUAAUGUAUCUCUGCCUAUUUCCAGCGCCUUUCCCAGCUCUUUCCCAAAGCUCUGAGGGGACAGAUGGUCUCUUCUGCCCAUUUAUUUGGUUUCCAUGGUGGAAACAAUUACCGCAGCACAAACAAGAAGGGGACACUCAUCCAGACACUGCAAGACUGUUCAUUAGUAAGGCAGCAUCAAUGUGCAUGUGGCAGCCCAAUUUGUGUCUUGCUUGCCAGUGUGGCUUAACUCAAGUAUAUCCUCUGAACUGACAUCAGUGAGAGCAGACAUUCUGUGUUAAGAGGAACAGCCCACCCGUGAUAAAAAUAUAUUAUUGCGGUGAUAUAUUUUAAUGAGAACUUCAGUGUGACCAGCUAGUGUUGUUUGAAAUAAAUUCUAUUAAUAAAGCAGCUGAAUUUGUGGUAUAGCACUAAAUACAGAGAACUAUAAAGUAGCUACGUGAUGUGGGGUCAUCAGUUUAGUGGUCUGACCCUCAUACCUUAUGCAUGUCCCUUAAUUUCCAUGGAGUCUCACCCUCCUUCUGUAGAAUGAGGUUUAGCUCUCCCUCCUCACACCCCAGUGGAAUGUCACAGGGUGCAACCCUCUGGCACUGAGGAGAUAUCUGACAGUGAGGUCUGUAUUAGCACUUCAGGUAGCACUUCUAUUUAGGGGCCAGCAGACUGACAGCUCCUUGCUGUGUGAUACCAUGGUGCUUUGUCUCCUCGUUUUGGUAUGUGCAGUAUCCUACUUGUGCUACAUCUCAGUGAGCUGGAGAAGUGGUGCAAGUCACAGCACUUUCCUUUUCCAUCUGGCCUGCAGCAAUGGAGGGGUGGAGGGGGUUAGGCUUGCUGUGGUGUGACUGUGCUGCAAUGUAUGAAGUCAAGAACCCCACUGAAGAACUUGAAUAGAGAUUUGCAUCAUGUUGGUGAUGUUGCCAAACUUCAUGGUAGAAAUGCUCCAUUUUUGGAAGAUAAACUAUAGAAUACUUUCCACAGGACUGCAAGAAAGCAAGCUUGCUAUGCCUGCAUUCCACGCUUCUCAAUCAACAUCAAUAUCAAACCUCCUCCAGAAUGAAAAGAUUUCACCACUUUUCUUGUUAAAUGUCUUUGUUACGUGUAUUUAGGGUGUGCUAGAUAUUUUCCCUAGUUUAUCAAUGCCUUCAGCCGCUCAGCUCUAAGAAAGGUCAGUAUGGGCUCAUUGCUGAUUCCUUUUAUUUUUUUUCUCUCUGGUGCAUAACACAGGCAGCUAUUCUUGCCAGUCUCUCUCUUUGCCUAAGUACUUAGAAUCCUCCACGGGAACAGGUGAUUAAUGGCAUGUUAAUUGUCUAUGUUUGAGAAUGCACACAGACACACAGAUGCUUACACAGGGAGCUCUUGGUACGUAUGUCUUUCUAAGCAUCAAGUUUUUCCAUACAGAUCUUAUUAUCUGUAACAUAGCCCUUUCUCUCAGUAUUGUAUUUGCACUGGGGUUGAGGCAAUCCCAGUCAUGCACACAGACUGGGAAAAGAACCCAAAGAGAGCAGCUCUGUGGAGAAGAACUUGAGGAUCCUGAUGAAUGGAAGCCUGGACAUGAGCCAGCAGUGCACACUUGCAGCCCCGAAAGCCAACUGUAUCCUAGGCUGCAUCAACGGAGGGAUGACAGCAGGGAGAGGGAGGGGAUUGUCCCCAUCUGCUCUGCUCUCGUGAGGACUCAUCUGCAGUACUGCAUCCAGGCCUGGGGCCCCCAGCAGAAGAAAAACAUGGAGCUGUUGGAGCGGGUCCAGAGAAGAUCAUAAAGAUGAUCAGAGAGCUGGAGCACCUCUCCUGUGAAGAAAGGCUGAGGGAACUUUGCUUGUUCAGCCUGGAGAAGAGAAGGCUCCAGGGAGACUUCAUCAAGGCUUUCCAGUACUUAAAGGGAACUUAUAAACUGAUUUUUUACAUAGCCUGGUGGUGAUAGAACAAGGGGCAGUGGCUUUAAAACAGAUGAGAUUUAAGUUAGAUGUCAGCAGGAAUUUCUUUACUCAGAGGGCAGUGAGGCCCUGGCACAGCUGCUCCGAGAAGCUGUGGUGCCCCAUCCCUGGAGGCACCCGAGGCCUGGUUGGAUGAGGCCCUGGUGGAAGGUAGCCCUGCCCACAGCAUAGGCUGGGACUGCGUGGGCUUUGAGGUUCCUUCCAACUCAAGUAAUUCUAUCACUCUAUGAUUCUAUGAUAUAUUUGUUGUCUGUCUUGACACAUGACUGUAUGAAUACUGUCUUUACUUUCUAAGUCAUGAUUAAUUUAAAAAUUUCUCAGUUUUCUCACUGUACUUUUUUUUCUUUUCUGAGCCUAAUUACUAAGAGAUGUGAGCAUAUAAAUAUAAAACGUAUGAGUUGUUUGUUGUUGGUGGUGGUGGUGGGUUUUUUUUUUGCAAUAAAUCUGAUCAUUAUUUAUAUUGCUUCUCAGUAUCUCUCCCCUAAGCUAUCCUGAACUUGAACAAAUCACUACAUCACUAGAAUCUUGAACGUUACUUAUUUGUGCGCUAAUUAUUCUUAAUCUGGGUCCUUUUAAGAAGGUUGUCAAUUAGACUUUAUUGAAUUGUCAGUGCUCACAGCAGCAAAGGGAAUCUGGUAGCACGUGUAACCAUGUCACAGAUGGCUAAAUACUCUAUAUUCUGAAGGGGAAAAUGAAUUAAAUAUAGAUUCAAGUUACAGAAUGUGUGUGCGAUGUAGGUUUUUGUUUUUUGGUUUGUUUUUUUUUUCAGAGGAAACCACUGUUUACAAUUGACUGAAGAUGUCUCUGAGGAUCUCUUAUAUAUCAGCCUUUGGGAAGAGCUAUGAGCAAGUGGCUCAUCUAGUUUUCAAGGUUCACAUUGAAAUAGGUCUCUAGAUGGUGCAGAUCUUUCAUCUUUUGAGAACAUCUUAAGGCCACCUUACUGGUGUUUGUUUUCCCUUGCCAAAAGUUCAGAACCACUGCUUUCUACAGUAAAUUCAGUGAUAACAGCCUACCAGGUCAUGUCUUGAUGUUUUCACUCUUUUCACAUGGAUGUUAUCAAGCAGCAAUGAUGACAGUAGCCUC